Molecule: non-coding RNA, 898 nt
Organism: Chelonoidis abingdonii (Abingdon island giant tortoise)
Lineage: Eukaryota; Metazoa; Chordata; Testudines; Testudinidae
Source: RefSeq, a predicted model, not a curated record
CAGAUGUCAGGGUAGAGUUCAUCCUGCUGCUGCUUACAUAGGUAUCUGUGCCCCCCACAACCCCCUAAUCCCACCGGGACCCAUCUAGCCUGGAUAAAGGUAUCUGUGCUCCCCACAAACCUCUAAGCCCCCCAGGGAACCCACAAGCCCAGAUGUAGGCAUCUGUUCGCCCCACAAACCCGCUAAGACCCACAGGACCCCUCCAGCCUAUAGGUAGGUAUCUGUGACCUCCAGAGCCACACAAACACCCUCGGGACUCCUACAGCAUGGAUGUUUGUAUCUGUGACCCCCACAAACCUCCUAAGCUACCCACGGCCCCCUACAAUCGGGACGUAGGUAUCUGUUCCCCCCCAACACACCUAAUCCCCCCCGGGACCCCUACAGCCUAGACGUAGGUAUCUGUGCCCCCACAACCCUCCUAAGACCCCCAAAACCCCUCCAGCCUAGACGCAGGUAUCUGUGCUCCCCACAAAGCCCCAGGCCAUGAUGGGACCCUUCCAGCCUCGACAUAGUUAUCUGGGCUCCCCACAACCCCCCUAAGCCCCCCGGAACUCCUCCAGCCUAGACGCAGGUAUCUGUGCCCAACACGAACCCCCUAAGGCCCCCAGGAUCCCUCUUGCCUGGAUGAAGGUAUCUGUGCCCCCCACAAACCCCUAAGCCCCCCAGGAUCCUUAUAACCUGGUGGUAGGUAUCUGUGCACCCUCACAAACCUACUGAUCCUCCCAGCGACCCCUACAGCAUGGACGUAGGUAUCUGUACCCCAAGAUGCCCCAAAGCAACCCCGGGACCCCUACAGCCUCGAUAUAGGUAUCUGUGCCCCCUCACAACUCCCUAAUACCCCCAGAAUCCCUCCAUCCUGGACAUAGAGAUUUGUGACCUCCAGAAACCCCCUAAGCCC